This 465-nucleotide ribosomal RNA is filed under the name uncultured bacterium. Its description in RNAcentral is "partial 16S ribosomal RNA". It matches the Rfam family "Bacterial small subunit ribosomal RNA", at positions 338 to 795 of the family's 1533-position model. The record is from RNAcentral.
CCUACGGGAGGCUGCAGUAGGGAAUCUUCCACAAUGGGCGCAAGCCUGAUGGAGCAACACCGCGUGAGUGAAGAAGGGUUUCGGCUCGUAAAGCUCUGUUGUUGGAGAAGAACGUGCGUGAGAGUAACUGUUCACGCAGUGACGGUAUCCAACCAGAAAGUAACGGCUAACUACGUGCCAGCAGCCGCGGUAAUACGUAGGUGGCAAGCGUUAUCCGGAGUUAUUGGGCGUAAAGCGAGCGCAGGCGGUUGCUUAGGUCUGAUGUGAAAGCCUUCGGCUUAACCGAAGAAGUGCAUCGGAAACCGGGCAACUUGAGUGCAGAAGAGGACAGUGGAACUCCAUGUGUAGCGGUGGAAUGCGUAGAUAUAUGGAAGAACACCAGUGGCGAAGGCGGCUGUCUGGUCUGCAACUGACGCUGAGGCUCGAAAGCAUGGGUAGCGAACAGGAUUAGAUACCCCUGUAGUC